UACGGAGGGGGCUAGCGUUGUUCGGAAUUACUGGGCGUAAAGCGCGCGUAGGCGGCUUUGUAAGUUAGAGGUGAAAGCCCGGGGCUCAACCCCGGAACUGCCUUUAAGACUGCAUCGCUUGAAUCCGGGAGAGGUGAGUGGAAUUCCGAGUGUAGAGGUGAAAUUCGUAGAUAUUGGGAAGAACACCGAUGGCGAAGGCAGCCAUCUGGACCGACACUGACGCUGAGGCGCGAAAGCGUGGGGAGCAAACAGG
This 253-nucleotide ribosomal RNA is filed under the name uncultured bacterium. RNAcentral's name for it is "partial 16S ribosomal RNA". It matches the Rfam family "Bacterial small subunit ribosomal RNA", at positions 524 to 776 of the family's 1533-position model. The record is from RNAcentral.